CCUACGGGUGGCAGCAGUGGGGGAUAUUGCACAAUGGGGGGAACCCUGAUGCAGCGACGCCGCGUGGGUGAAGGAGCGUUUCGGCGCGUAAAGCCCUAUCGGCAGGGAGGAAGAUGACGGUACCUGACCAAGAAGCCCCGUCUCACUACGUGCCAGCAGACGCGGUAAUACGCAGGGGGCAAGCGUAAUCCGGAUUGAUUGGGUUUAAAGGGUGCGUAGGCGGUACGGAAAGUCAGCGGUAAAAGCGCGGGGCUCAACCCCGGCGAGCCGUUGAAACUGUCGGACUAGAGACGGCGAGAAGUACGCGGAAUGCGCGGUGUAGCGGUGAAAUGCAUAGAUAUCGCGCAGAACUCCGAUUGCGAAGGCAGCGUACCGGCGCCGGACUGACGCUGAGGCACGAAAGCGUGGGUAUCGAACAGGAUUAGAUACCCGGGUAGUC
This 439-nucleotide ribosomal RNA is filed under the name uncultured bacterium. RNAcentral's name for it is "partial 16S ribosomal RNA". It matches the Rfam family "Bacterial small subunit ribosomal RNA", at positions 338 to 795 of the family's 1533-position model. The record is from RNAcentral.